CGGAGCAUAGCACAGCCUGGUAGUGCACCUGGUUUGGGACCAGGGGGUCGUAGGUUCGAAGAGUACUGGGCGUAGCA
This 77-nucleotide transfer RNA is filed under the name Acinetobacter baumannii. RNAcentral describes it as "tRNA-Pro". Lineage: Bacteria; Pseudomonadati; Pseudomonadota; Gammaproteobacteria; Moraxellales; Moraxellaceae. The record is from RNAcentral.